CUCUCCUUUGUCUACCUUUUGACUGAAUCAACACAAGCUUGAACUAUGUGGAAGAGCUCAAAAACUGCUUAGUGAAUUCACACCCUACUUAGUGCUAGUUGAGAAGCUAGCAAAAUACUUGGAGAGGCCACCCUUUUUCUAACUCAACAGUUGGAAACAUGUAAGAGUUCACACCCUCAGAAACUGUGAUCUUUUGAUGAGUAUUCACCCCUCCAGAAGGUGCAAACUGGUUCCCACCAACACUACUCCCUAGGCAGUGCUAGACAAUUUGGAAGCUGUGAUUGGUCCCUGUGAAGAGAGGAGGAGACAAGAAGCCACUAUAAAAGGCCCUGAAUUUCUGAGGAUAGAGGAAGUAGACUCUACAAAGGAAGUCAGCUUCAAGGAGGAGUUGGACUUCAAGAAGGAAGUCAGCUUAAGGAAGGAGGUCUACUCAGAAAAGAAAGUUGGCCUCAGGAGUCACCUUCAAUUUAAGUCAUCAUCUUGGCCUGCCUCUUGGAGGAAACUUGGGUGAAUGGAUAGCUGGCUUUCCUUUCUUGUCUUCUGGAGAGAGUUUAAUUCUGGUUGAAGGUCAACAAGUCUUGGCUGAGGGAGUUCAUCUGGAGUUUUGUUUAAUGCCAAAAUACGAUGAAUGUUGGCUGUGGACAUCUUGUGAUUUUUCUCACAUGGAGGAAGACCUUCGGGAGCAAGGUAAUUGUCUUGGCCACCAGCUAAGAGAGGUAAUGAUAACACACUGAAAUUCUGUUCUGUGCCUGCCAGAAUGGCCAUAUGAACCACACAGGGCCAGUCUUUGCACACAACCUGCAACAUACUUCAUGUCACUUCAUUCAUUCAUUCAAUUAAUAUUUAUUGAGCAUCCCACAGGGUGUUUGGCAGAGAUUCAGCAUCUCCUAUAAA
This 894-nucleotide long non-coding RNA is filed under the name Monodelphis domestica (gray short-tailed opossum). RNAcentral describes it as "lncRNA (ENSMODG00000033516.2)". Lineage: Eukaryota; Metazoa; Chordata; Mammalia; Didelphimorphia; Didelphidae. The record is from RNAcentral.